RNAcentral lists this ribosomal RNA (622 nucleotides) under Vibrio sp. RNAcentral's name for it is "bacterial SSU rRNA". It matches the Rfam family "Bacterial small subunit ribosomal RNA", at positions 53 to 655 of the family's 1533-position model. The record is from RNAcentral. Lineage: Bacteria; Pseudomonadati; Pseudomonadota; Gammaproteobacteria; Vibrionales; Vibrionaceae.
ACAUGCAAGUCGAGCGGAACGACACUAACAAUCCUUCGGGUGCGUUAAUGGGCGUCGAGCGGCGGACGGGUGAGUAAUGCCUAGGAAAUUGCCUUGAUGUGGGGGAUAACCAUUGGAAACGAUGGCUAAUACCGCAUAAUGCCUACGGGCCAAAGAGGGGGACCUUCGGGCCUCUCGCGUCAAGAUAUGCCUAGGUGGGAUUAGCUAGUUGGUGAGGUAAUGGCUCACCAAGGCGACGAUCCCUAGCUGGUCUGAGAGGAUGAUCAGCCACACUGGAACUGAGACACGGUCCAGACUCCUACGGGAGGCAGCAGUGGGGAAUAUUGCACAAUGGGCGAAAGCCUGAUGCAGCCAUGCCGCGUGUAUGAAGAAGGCCUUCGGGUUGUAAAGUACUUUCAGUUGUGAGGAAGGGGGUGGUGUUAAUAGCGCUAUCUCUUGACGUUAGCAACAGAAGAAGCACCGGCUAACUCCGUGCCACCAGCCGCGGUAAUACGGAGGGUGCGAGCGUUUAUCGGAAUUACUGGGCGUAAAGCGCAUGCGGGUGGUUCAUUAAGUCAGAUGUGAAAGCCCGGGGCUCAACCUCGGACUGCAUUUGAAACUGGUGAAACUACAGUACGGUGAG